Molecule: unclassified non-coding RNA, 562 nt
Filed under: Fusarium acuminatum
Lineage: Eukaryota; Fungi; Ascomycota; Sordariomycetes; Hypocreales; Nectriaceae
Description: sequence contains 18S rRNA gene, ITS1, 5.8S rRNA gene, ITS2, 28S rRNA gene
Source: RNAcentral
CAGGAAGAAAAGGGGGAAGUGAUUCGCGGUAAUUCCUACCUGAUCCGAGGUCACAUUCGGAAGUUGGGGGUUUAACGGCUUGGCCGCGCCGCGUUCCAGUUGCGAGGUGUUAGCUACUACGCAAUGGAGGCUGCAGCGAGACCGCCACUAGAUUUCGGGGCCGGGCUGGAGUACAGCCCGAUCCCCAACACCAAACCCGGGGGCUUGAGGGUUGAAAUGACGCUCGAACAGGCAUGCCCGCCAGAAUACUGGCGGGCGCAAUGUGCGUUCAAAGAUUCGAUGAUUCACUGAAUUCUGCAAUUCACAUUACUUAUCGCAUGUUGCUGCGUUCUUCAUCGAUGCCAGAACCAAGAGAUCCGUUGUUGAAAGUUUUGAUUUAUUUGUUUUUUAGACUCAGAAGUUACACUAAAAUCAGAGUUUUGUGGUUCCUGCGGCGGGCCGUCCGGGUUUACGGGGCGCGGGCUGAUCGCCCGAGGCAACAUAAACGUAUGUUCCAGGGGUUUGGAAGAGGUAAACUCGUAAAGGGCACUCCCUGGUUAACCAACGGAAAGACGACAACCCG